Molecule: ribosomal RNA, 253 nt
Filed under: uncultured bacterium
Lineage: Bacteria
Description: partial 16S ribosomal RNA
Rfam family: Bacterial small subunit ribosomal RNA
Source: RNAcentral
UCCGGAGGAUCCAAGCGUUAUCCGGAAUCAUUGGGUUUAAAGGGUCCGUAGGUGGGCCGUUACGUCAGAGGUGAAAUCCUGCAGCUCAACUGUAGAAUUGCCUUUGAUACUGGCGGCCUUGAAUUACUGUGAAGUGGUUAGAAUAUGUGGUGUAGCGGUGAAAUGCAUAGAUAUCACAUAGAAGACCGAGUGCGAAGGCAGAUCACUAACAGUACAUUGACACUGAGGGACGAAAGCGUGGGGAGCGAACAGG